GUUCCACAUCAUCCAAAGUGGACUACAGGUAGAGCCACACCCUCUUCGGCAGCAAGCAUGGCCGACUGUGAGGCAAAGAGGAAGACUCAACCACCACUUCCAUGAGACUUUGCUGCACUUUUCCUCUUUAUAUGGAUCCCAGUGUGCUUCAUUCGGCCAAAUGAAAUGAUUGGACGGUCUGCCUGUCUACCUGCGUACACUCUACCGGAGUCUUCAACAAGCUGUAGCUUGACAGCUGUCACCAGAAGCUCAUUAAUUGCCUGAAAAGCAGCCUCGGGUAAAGUAGAGAUUUUUCUUUUUUUUUUGUCGAAACUGGAACUUGUGAAUUUUCUUUAAUCAAGGUAACUACAACUUUAACCAUAUUUUUUUUUAGUCCUCACUGCCACCUACGGAAUGAUUCAAGACACAGAUACAGGUUAGAAAUUCAAAAUGAGACAAUGCUGCAAGUUUAUAGCCGAACACACGACUGAAACUUUCCUAAAUCUUAUAAUGUUAUAUAGCUCUAUGUUGAAAAAGGGAACUUAUAUAGUAGUCUUGUUUGUUUUGGUCUGCCACUGAACCAUAUAUGAACCACAUAGCAGACUUCUAUUGAGGCCGACAUGAGAGGACGUUGAUGCAACUUUGUCACAGCACAACGGUGGCACGGAGUAACAAGGAGGAGAGGAGGUGAUUUACUUGACAAGGAUGGAGGAAGCGAUGGAUCUCAGGAAGCUGCUGCAGAAGAAAAGAUGGGAGGGAUGAAGAGGGAGUGACAGGGUGACAUGGGUGUCGCACCCUCCUCCGUUUCUAUUGGUCUUACAGGGAUGAAAGUGUCAGCGGUGAAGACAGUUAUCUGAGAGGCACAGGAGGAGGGAGGGAAAAUUGGGAGAAGAAGAAAGAGGGAGAAGGAACGAGGGAGAGAGAGGGAGCUGAAAGAGAGGGAGAAACCGUGAGGAUGAGGUAAGAGUGUGAGGGUGGGAGGAAAGAGAGGAACAGCAGGACGUAUAAACAUUUUGAAUGUGAAUCAUAGGCAUCUGGCAGGAGAGGAGAGGGAGGAGGGGACGGGGACUGAGAUGUGAGACAUAAGGAGAGGUGACAGAGUUGGAGAGUGGGUGAGUGAGACAAAAGUAGACAGAAUGAUGGAGAAUAUGAGAAGCAGGGAGGGUUUGAUGGAAGGAACAAGAAGCAGCGAGGAUGAUGAGCAGAGAAAGAGGCGCCAAUAAAGUGUAAUACAUGUU
This is a long non-coding RNA of Sebastes umbrosus (honeycomb rockfish), 1217 nucleotides long. RefSeq lists it as uncharacterized. NCBI's taxonomy places the organism in Eukaryota, Metazoa, Chordata, Actinopteri, Perciformes, Sebastidae. The transcript is spliced from 3 exons. The record is from RefSeq and is a predicted model, not a curated record.